RNAcentral lists this ribosomal RNA (400 nucleotides) under uncultured bacterium. RNAcentral describes it as "bacterial SSU rRNA". It matches the Rfam family "Bacterial small subunit ribosomal RNA", at positions 355 to 747 of the family's 1533-position model. The record is from RNAcentral.
UGGGGAAUUUUGGACAAUGGACGCAAGUCUGAUCCAGCAACGCCGCGUGCAGGACGAAGGCCUUCGGGUUGUAAACUGCUUUUGUACGGAACGAAAAGCCUUCUUCUAAUACAGGGGGGUCAUGACGGUACCGUAAGAAUAAGCACCGGCUAACUACGUGCCAGCAGCCGCGGUAAUACGUAGGGUGCAAGCGUUAAUCGGAAUUACUGGGCGUAAAGCGUGCGCAGGCGGUUGUGUAAGACAGGUGUGAAAUCCCCGAGCUUAACUUGGGAAUUGCACUUGUGACUGCACGGCUAGAGUGCGGCAGAGGGGGAUGGAAUUCCGCGUGUAGCAGUGAAAUGCGUAGAUAUGCGGAGGAACACCGAUGGCGAAGGCAAUCCCCUGGGCCUGCACUGACGCU